RNAcentral lists this ribosomal RNA (253 nucleotides) under uncultured bacterium. RNAcentral describes it as "partial 16S ribosomal RNA". It matches the Rfam family "Bacterial small subunit ribosomal RNA", at positions 524 to 776 of the family's 1533-position model. The record is from RNAcentral.
UACAGAGGUCUCAAGCGUUGUUCGGAUUCAUUGGGCGUAAAGGGUGCGUAGGCGGCGCGGUAAGUCGGGUGUGAAAUCUCGGAGCUUAACUCCGAAACUGCAUUCGAUACUGCCGUGCUUGAGGACUGGAGAGGAGACUGGAAUUUACGGUGUAGCGGUGAAAUGCGUAGAUAUCGUAAGGAAGACCAGUGGCGAAGGCGGGUCUCUGGACAGUUCCUGACGCUGAGACACGAAGGUCAGGGGAGCAAACGGG